RNAcentral lists this ribosomal RNA (426 nucleotides) under uncultured Pseudomonadaceae bacterium. RNAcentral describes it as "bacterial SSU rRNA". It matches the Rfam family "Bacterial small subunit ribosomal RNA", at positions 356 to 774 of the family's 1533-position model. The record is from RNAcentral. Lineage: Bacteria; Pseudomonadati; Pseudomonadota; Gammaproteobacteria; Pseudomonadales; Pseudomonadaceae.
GGGGAAUAUUGGACAAUGGGCGAAAGCCUGAUCCAGCGAUGCCGCGUGUGUGAAGAAGGUCUUCGGAUUGUAAAGCACUUUAAGUUGGGAGGAAGGGUUGUAGAUUAAUACUCUGCAAUUUUGACGUUACCGACAGAAUAAGCACCGGCUAACUUCGUGCCAGCAGCCGCGGUAAUACGAAGGGUGCAAGCGUUAAUCGGAAUUACUGGGCGUAAAGCGCGCGUAGGUGGUUCGUUAAGUUGGAUGUGAAAGCCCCGGGCUCAACCUGGGAACUGCAUACAAAACUGGCGAGCUAGAGCAUGGCCGAGGGUGGUGGAAUUUCCUGUGUAGCGGUGAAAUGCGUAGAUAUAGGAAGGAACACCAGUGGCGAAGGCGACCACCUGGGCUAAUACUGAUACUGAGGUGCGUAAGCGUGGGGAGCAAACA